This 315-nucleotide ribosomal RNA is filed under the name uncultured eukaryote. RNAcentral's name for it is "partial 18S ribosomal RNA". It matches the Rfam family "Eukaryotic small subunit ribosomal RNA", at positions 1470 to 1796 of the family's 1831-position model. The record is from RNAcentral.
CCCUUAGACGUUCUGGGCCGCACGCGCGCUACACUGACCAGUGCAACAAGCAUCCGUCCUUGGCCGACAGGCUCGGGCAAUCUUUGAACGCUGGUCGUGAUGGGGAUAGACUUUUGCAAUUUUUGGUCUUCAACGAGGAACUCCUAGUAAACGCAAGUCAUCAACUUGCAUUGAUUACGUCCCUGCCCUUUGUACACACCGCCCGUCGCACCUACCGAUUGAAUGGUCCGGUGAAGCCUCCGGAUUGGCGCGCACCUCGGUGCCGCCGAGAAGUUGGCUAAACCUUACCAUUUAGAGGAAGGUGAAGUCGUAACA